UACGUAUGGUGCAAGCGUUAUCCGGAUUACUGGGUGUAAAGGGAGCGUAGGCGGCGCGUUAAGUCUGAUGUGAAAACCCGAGGCUCAACCACGGGAGUGCAUUGGAAACUGGCGUGCUGGAGUGCCGGAGAGGUAAGCGGAAUUCCUAGUGUAGCGGUGAAAUGCGUAGAUAUUAGGAGGAACACCAGUGGCGAAGGCGGCUUACUGGACGGCAACUGACGCUGAGGCUCGAAAGCGUGGGGAGCAAACAGG
Molecule: ribosomal RNA, 252 nt
Filed under: uncultured bacterium
Lineage: Bacteria
Description: partial 16S ribosomal RNA
Rfam family: Bacterial small subunit ribosomal RNA
Source: RNAcentral